Molecule: ribosomal RNA, 389 nt
Filed under: Stramenopiles sp. MAST-1C
Lineage: Eukaryota
Description: partial small subunit ribosomal RNA
Rfam family: Eukaryotic small subunit ribosomal RNA
Source: RNAcentral
AUUCCAGCUCCAAUAGCGUAUAUUAAUGUUGUUGCAGUUAAAAAGCUCGUAGUUGGAUUUCUGGUGGGAGUGGCCGGUCCGCCGUAAGGUGUGUACUUGGUUGUCUCCCGUCAUCCUUGUGGGAACUGCUCUGGCAUUAAGUUGUCGGGGUUAGGGAACACAUCGUUUACUGUGAAAAAAUUAGAGUGUUUAAAGCAGGCUUAUGCCGUUGAAUACAUUAGCAUGGAAUAAUAAGAUAGGACUUUGGCGUCUAUUUUGUUGGUUUGCACACCAAGGUAAUGAUUAAUAGGGAUAGUUGGGGGUAUUCGUAUUUAAUUGUCAGAGGUGAAAUUCUCAGACCAGCGGAAGACGAACUACUGCGAAAGCAUUUGCCAGGGAUGUUUUCAUCA